Molecule: transfer RNA, 73 nt
Filed under: Thioflexithrix psekupsensis
Lineage: Bacteria; Pseudomonadati; Pseudomonadota; Gammaproteobacteria; Thiotrichales
Rfam family: tRNA
About the family: Transfer RNA (tRNA) molecules are approximately 80 nucleotides in length.
Source: Rfam by way of RNAcentral
GCCCUGAUAGCUCAGUGGAGAGAGCGUUCCCCUCCUAAGGGAAAGGCCAUAGGUUCAAAUCCUAUUCAGGGCA